RNAcentral lists this ribosomal RNA (627 nucleotides) under Pediococcus pentosaceus. RNAcentral describes it as "bacterial SSU rRNA". It matches the Rfam family "Bacterial small subunit ribosomal RNA", at positions 684 to 1311 of the family's 1533-position model. The record is from RNAcentral. Lineage: Bacteria; Bacillati; Bacillota; Bacilli; Lactobacillales; Lactobacillaceae.
AAAUGCGUAGAUAUAUGGAAGAACACCAGUGGCGAAGGCGGCUGUCUGGUCUGCAACUGACGCUGAGGCUCGAAAGCAUGGGUAGCGAACAGGAUUAGAUACCCUGGUAGUCCAUGCCGUAAACGAUGAUUACUAAGUGUUGGAGGGUUUCCGCCCUUCAGUGCUGCAGCUAACGCAUUAAGUAAUCCGCCUGGGGAGUACGACCGCAAGGUUGAAACUCAAAAGAAUUGACGGGGGCCCGCACAAGCGGUGGAGCAUGUGGUUUAAUUCGAAGCUACGCGAAGAACCUUACCAGGUCUUGACAUCUUCUGACAGUCUAAGAGAUUAGAGGUUCCCUUCGGGGACAGAAUGACAGGUGGUGCAUGGUUGUCGUCAGCUCGUGUCGUGAGAUGUUGGGUUAAGUCCCGCAACGAGCGCAACCCUUAUUACUAGUUGCCAGCAUUAAGUUGGGCACUUUAGUGAGACUGCCGGUGACAAACCGGAGGAAGGUGGGGACGACGUCAAAUCAUCAUGCCCCUUAUGACCUGGGCUACACACGUGCUACAAUGGAUGGUACAACGAGUCGCGAGACCGCGAGGUUAAGCUAAUCUCUUAAAACCAUUCUCAGUUCGGACUGUAGGUUGCAAC